Molecule: long non-coding RNA, 92 nt
Organism: Thalassophryne amazonica
Lineage: Eukaryota; Metazoa; Chordata; Actinopteri; Batrachoidiformes; Batrachoididae
Exons: 3
Source: RefSeq, a predicted model, not a curated record
AUACAAAUAAUGAACAUUUAUGAAUUCAAUGGUACGAAUAUUUCAUGAGGUGAAAAGUGGAAUGUUCCAUCUGACCAGCCAAAACAGAUUUG